GGGGAAACUAGUGUUUGAGAAGUUACCUUCGAUAGGAAGGCGUAAGAAGCAUCAAUAUCUUGUGGAAUUGGAGGGUUCUCUUUGUAUGUAAGACUGGGAUCAUAAAGAUGAUUGUCAUAUGGAUGUUUGGGUAAUGGAUGAUGUUGAUGGUUGGAGUAAGAAAUACAGCGUUGGACCAUUAAUCGGAUUUUUUGACCGAAUCUUGGGUUGUUUGAGGAAUGGUGACAUUGUAGCUAAGAAUGAAAUGGAGUGAUAUCCUUGUGUGAACCCAUAUCUAAUUCAGUCAAGGAAAAUUUCAGCAUUGAUAAUAGCAAGGAUGAAUCUUAUGUGAUUGUUGAUUAUUCAGAGAGCCUAUUUCUGAUUGAAGGGAUGCUACCUGUUAAGAAGCAAGCUGCUCAAGAUAAAUUGGCGCGCAAAAGAGUCACAAGGUUAUUUCCUUUAUUUUUUGUUGACAGUUGUUGCUGCAUGUAAGGGUUGGAUUUUCUGGCGCACUCCUGUGGCUUUGUUGUAAUGGCUUUCACCAGAAUUCUUUUCCUUGCUGCAUUUCUUCUUCUCCUUUCUUUCUGGUUACCCUGUUAGUUUUUCUGUUAAUGUUGGUAGCUGCUGUACUAAUAUGGAUUGGGAGGGGAAGGAACCCUAUUGAUUCAUCUGUUGUGGCUCGGGUGUAUGUAGAUCUCUUUGCCUUAGCAGUUCUUUUGCUGGGAGUGGCAUUGGCAUGCUAUGG
Molecule: unclassified non-coding RNA, 724 nt
Filed under: Hevea brasiliensis (rubber tree)
Lineage: Eukaryota; Viridiplantae; Streptophyta; Magnoliopsida; Malpighiales; Euphorbiaceae
Source: RNAcentral